Gasterosteus aculeatus aculeatus (three-spined stickleback) is the source of this 383-nucleotide long non-coding RNA. The record is from Ensembl. Lineage: Eukaryota; Metazoa; Chordata; Actinopteri; Perciformes; Gasterosteidae.
AACAUCUACAUGGAAUGGCUACAACAAACCAUGUACAAACUGUAACCCCUGUAGCACAGGAAAUAAUUGUUGAUGAGGCAUGUGAAGCUGGUGAGAUGUUUUCCUCAAGCACAGAAGAUGAUGAAGAGGAAGAGGAUUGCCUAAGGACACAAUUGGCAGGGUGGGCUAUUGACAACAUGAUCCACCAUGUGGCACUUGGUAAGCUUUUAACCAUUUUGUCCAAGGAUCAUCCAACCCUUCCUAAAGACCCAAGAACCCGUCUUAAAACGGUGACUUGUGUUAAAACAACAGAACUCUCAGGUGGUUUCUCACCAGUGGUCCAGUCUCCACUUCUAAGAGCCAAGAGUUUGAGUAAAAGUAACUUUUUUGGCCAUCAAAUGUGG